Molecule: transfer RNA, 74 nt
Filed under: Streptomyces sp. TR1341
Lineage: Bacteria; Bacillati; Actinomycetota; Actinomycetes; Kitasatosporales; Streptomycetaceae
Description: tRNA-Tyr
Source: RNAcentral
GGCCCCGCCGGGCCGGGGGCGAGGUCGAACUUGUAAAGCGAAGGUCGUCGGUUCGAAUCCGACAGGGGGCUCCA